Molecule: ribosomal RNA, 253 nt
Filed under: uncultured bacterium
Lineage: Bacteria
Description: partial 16S ribosomal RNA
Rfam family: Bacterial small subunit ribosomal RNA
Source: RNAcentral
UACGUAGGGUGCGAGCGUUAAUCGGAAUUGCUGGGCGUAAAGCGUGCGUAGGCGGUUCUCCAAGUCCGUUGUGAAAGCCCCGGGCUCAACCUGGGAAUGGCAGUGGAAACUAGGGGACUGGAAUCUGGCAGAGGGGGGUGGAAUGCCGCGUGUAGCAGUGAAAUGCGUAGAGAUGCGGCGGAACACCGAUGGCGAAGGCAGCCCCCUGGGCUGAGAUUGACGCUCAGGCACGAAAGCGUGGGGAGCAAACAGG